GAUGAACGCUGGCGGCGUGCCUAAUACAUGCAAGUCGAACGAACAGGCGAAGAGCUUGCUCGGCGGACGUUAGCGGCGGGCGUGUGAAUCACGCGUGUAUAACCUACCUAUAAUUCUGAUAUAGCUUCGGGAAGCCGGAUCUAAUAGCGUAUAAUAUGGUCAACCGCAGGGGUCAGUAGUAAAGGGCUGUUUUGCUGGCACUUGGAGAUGGGUCCUCGCCGCAUGAGCUAGUUGGUAAGGUAACGGCUUACCAAGGCAACGAUGCGUAGCCGACCUGAGAGGGUGAGAGGCCACACGGGAACUGAGACACGGUCCAGCCUCCUAGGGGAGGCAGCAGUAGGGAAUUUUCCGAAAUGGGCGAAAGCCUGAAGGAGCAACGCAGCGUGAGUGCUGAAGGUAUUCGGAUCGUAAAGCUCUGUUACUAGGGAAGAACAAAUGUGUCCGUAACUAUGCAUGUCUUGACGGUAACUAAUAAGAAAGCCCCGGCUAACUACGUG
RNAcentral lists this ribosomal RNA (497 nucleotides) under uncultured bacterium. RNAcentral's name for it is "partial 16S ribosomal RNA". It matches the Rfam family "Bacterial small subunit ribosomal RNA", at positions 28 to 507 of the family's 1533-position model. The record is from RNAcentral.